This is a long non-coding RNA of Paramacrobiotus metropolitanus, 979 nucleotides long. RefSeq lists it as uncharacterized. NCBI's taxonomy places the organism in Eukaryota, Metazoa, Tardigrada, Eutardigrada, Parachela, Macrobiotidae. The transcript has 2 exons. The record is from RefSeq and is a predicted model, not a curated record.
UUACUAUUUUACAAAACACCGGCGUUUUAUUUGUGCCUUGUAAUGCAUAUCUCGUCAUGAUUCGCACCAAAAACGCUGUCCCAUGCAAAUUUCGCUGCCAACGUGAUGAAGUGAGAAAUUGACACAAUUGUUUCCUAGUAUACGAACCUGUCAAAAACCCGGUUCGGGACGGUCUGCGUCAAGCGCCCACUUCAAUCAGCUGACGGACGCCCGUGCCAGUUGUCUCGAUUAUCUCAGACAGCGAUUCCCAUUUUGCCCGGUUAUUUUGUAAUUUCACUCGCCUAACAAGGAAACGGUCAAUUCUUCGGCUUGCAUAACACAGUCCGAUAUUAUUCUAACGUUAACAAUAGUGUUAUAGCCCGGAAAAAGAAUGCUGGCUAGAAUUUUAUUAGCAGCUGUGCUGUGUGUGCUGGCGGUGGACGGUUCCUUGUUUGGCAAACUGCAGAGGGUCAAACGGGACGGUGACGGUUAUGGGUAUGGUUAUGGCGGAUACGGUUACCCGUCGCCAUAUGGAUACGGAGGAUACGGCGGCGGUGCUAACAAUGCCCUUUUAACCAGCCUCAUGUUGGGAUCACUCACGGGACGCCAGAGUACUGGCACCAGCAAUACGGCUGCCUUGGCCGCACUCGCUCCGCUUUUGUCGCAACCCUCUUAUAUGGGAAUGGGAAUGCCGUACUAUGGCGGAAGAAGUUACGGAGGAAGAGGGGAUUAGCCGGCAAAAAGAUGGACUACUUGCUUGUUACGCCACGAAUUGUAUACGCAUAAGAUUGGGUUAAAAGGUUGUUAAAAUCACUAUACUACUUUCAGCAGUCUAGUUUUAUUUAUGGAUGCAUAGCAAAGCACUUCCCACUGUCAAAAACCGCAUUUAUUUUGUUGUUGAUUUCCUUUGUGGUUUUUGCCUAACAUUAUUCUGCAUGAACGAAAUGUACUCUAAUUCGGAUUGCAUUAAUCAAAAAAUGAAUAACUGCUGUAUAAGAGA